UACAGAGGUCCCAAGCGUUGUUCGGAUUCAUUGGGCGUAAAGGGUGCGUAGGCGGCGCGGUAAGUCGGGUGUGAAAUCUCGGGGCUUAACUCCGAAACUGCAUUCGAUACUGCCGUGCUUGAGGACUGGAGAGGAGACUGGAAUUUACGGUGUAGCGGUGAAAUGCGCAGAUAUCGUAAGGAAGACCAGUGGCGAAGGCGGGUCUCUGGACAGUUCCUGACGCUGAGGCACGAAGGUCAGGGGAGCAAACGGG
This 253-nucleotide ribosomal RNA is filed under the name uncultured bacterium. RNAcentral describes it as "partial 16S ribosomal RNA". It matches the Rfam family "Bacterial small subunit ribosomal RNA", at positions 524 to 776 of the family's 1533-position model. The record is from RNAcentral.